Molecule: ribosomal RNA, 500 nt
Filed under: uncultured bacterium
Lineage: Bacteria
Description: partial 16S ribosomal RNA
Rfam family: Bacterial small subunit ribosomal RNA
Source: RNAcentral
AUUGAACGCUGGCGGCAUGCCUUACACAUGCAAGUCGAACGGCAGCACGGGAGCAAUCCUGGUGGCGAGUGGCGAACGGGUGAGUAAUGUAUCGGAACGUGCCCAGUCGUGGGGGAUAACGUAGCGAAAGCUACGCUAAUACCGCAUACGAUCUAUGGAUGAAAGCGGGGGAUCGCAAGACCUCGCGCGAUUGGAGCGGCCGAUAUCAGAUUAGGUAGUUGGUGGGGUAAAGGCUCACCAAGCCGACGAUCUGUAGCGGGUCUGAGAGGACGAACAGCCAAACGGGGAGUGAGACACGGCCCAGACUCCUACGGGAGGCAGCAGUGGGGAAUUUUGGACAAUGGGCGCAAGCCUGAUCCAGCAAUGCCGCGUGCAGGAUGAAGGCCUUCGGGUUGUAAACUGCUUUUGUACGGAACGAAACGGCGAGCUCUAAUACAGUUUGCUAAUGACGGUACCGUAAGAAUAAGCACCGGCUAACUACGUGCCAGCCGCCGCCGUAA